GAUUUCCUUUGAGUCGAUUGUUUCAGGGGCUAAUUUCACCUGUGGAUUGAUGACCUUGAAUUUUUCGAUAAUGUGUGGGGGACCUGGGUGGCCUAAUGUGGAUAACUCUGGGAUUCAGAUUCUUCCAUUCACAGACAAAAUUCUUCCAGGGCCUUGUGUGCAAUCUUCUUGUGAAGGUAAAUCGUAUCCGGAUUCUGCUAGCUUGUGUUCUGGUUCAGGGAAUAUUUGCUACCCUCCUGAGUUAAAUGUUGUUUCACCACCACCACCACCACCA
This 274-nucleotide unclassified non-coding RNA is filed under the name Hevea brasiliensis (rubber tree). Lineage: Eukaryota; Viridiplantae; Streptophyta; Magnoliopsida; Malpighiales; Euphorbiaceae. The record is from RNAcentral.